UCGAGCAGUUGGCCUACAGAAGUUAAUAGCUGGGUUCACAUAGCACACCCAAGGUGUCCUGAACAAUCUCUUUAGCAUUUGUCUUUGCUGGUCUGCUGUAGCCAGGUCUAUAUCUCUUUUGGAACACAUUUGUCUUAAAGGGGUUGCUGUAGCCAGGUCUAUAUCUCUUUUGGAACACAUUUGUCUUAAAGGGGCUGCUGUAGCCAGGUCUAUAUCUCUUUUGGAACACAUUUGUCUUAAAGGGGUUGCUGUAGCCAGGUCUAUAUCUCUUUUUUAUUUAUUUUAUUUGUCUUAAAGGGGCAGCAUUCUAUUUUGAGAUGUAUAAAAAAACAUUGUCAAAAUGACAUACUUUAGAAUAUAAUUAAUUAGAUUAAUACAAUGCAAUCCUAAAUAAUUAGUGUAAUGACUUGAAUUGCUCAAUUAUAUUAAACCAUUUUUAAAAAAACAUAUCAUACUAACCAAAUAUGCAUAACCAAGAGUGUGCCAGGCUGUCAUCAUGGCAAAGGGUGGCCACUUUGAAGAAUCGAUUGAUUGAUUUUUUUAAA
Oncorhynchus tshawytscha (Chinook salmon) is the source of this 545-nucleotide long non-coding RNA. The record is from Ensembl. NCBI's taxonomy places the organism in Eukaryota, Metazoa, Chordata, Actinopteri, Salmoniformes, Salmonidae.